UGAGGAAUAUUGGUCAAUGGGCGAGAGCCUGAACCAGCCAAGUCGCGUGAAGGAAGACUGCCUUAUGGGUUGUAAACUUCUUUUAUACAGGAAUAAAAAGGCUUACGUGUAGGCCAUUGCAAGUACUGUAUGAAUAAGCAUCGGCUAACUCCGUGCCAGCAGCCGCGGUAAUACGGAGGAUGCGAGCGUUAUCCGGAUUUAUUGGGUUUAAAGGGUGCGCAGGCGGGCUUUUAAGUCAGCGGUGAAAUCUGGACGCUUAACGUCCAAACUGCCGUUGAAACUGGGAGUCUUGAGUAUGGAUGAAGUAGGCGGAAUUCGUUGUGUAGCGGUGACAUGCAUAGAUAUAACGAGGAACUCCGAUUGCGUAGGCAGCUUACUAAGCCAUAACUGACGCUCAUGCACGAAAGCGUGGGGGAUCAAACAGGAUUAGAUACCCUGGUAGUCCACGCCGUAAAACGAUGAUUACUAGUUGUAUGCGAUAUGAUAGUAUGUGACUAAGCGAAAGCGAUAAGUAAUCCACCUGGGGAGUACGCCGGCAACGGUGAAACUUAAAUGAAUUGACGGGGGUCAUAGCUGUUUU
RNAcentral lists this ribosomal RNA (580 nucleotides) under uncultured bacterium. RNAcentral describes it as "partial 16S ribosomal RNA". It matches the Rfam family "Bacterial small subunit ribosomal RNA", at positions 355 to 936 of the family's 1533-position model. The record is from RNAcentral.